Molecule: ribosomal RNA, 253 nt
Filed under: uncultured bacterium
Lineage: Bacteria
Description: partial 16S ribosomal RNA
Rfam family: Bacterial small subunit ribosomal RNA
Source: RNAcentral
GACGAACCGUGCGAACGUUGUUCGGAAUCACUGGGCUUAAAGGGCGCGUAGGCGGGCACGCAAGUCGGUGGUGAAAUCCUCCGGCUCAACCGGAGAAGAGCUGUCGAUACUGCGUGCCUCGAGGGGUGUAGGGGCCUGUGGAACUUUGGGUGGAGCGGUGAAAUGCGUAGAGAUCCAAAGGAACGCCGGUGGCGAAAGCGACGGGCUGGACACCUUCUGACGCUGAGGCGCGAAAGCGUGGGGAGCAAACAGG